RNAcentral lists this transfer RNA (28 nucleotides) under Chloropicon laureae. RNAcentral's name for it is "partial Selenocysteine transfer RNA". The record is from RNAcentral. Lineage: Eukaryota; Viridiplantae; Chlorophyta; Chloropicophyceae; Chloropicales; Chloropicaceae.
GGCGUCCCAACCGCAGGCGGGGACGACG